UUCCCUCAGGUUCCGGCGGUGUCUCAGGCAGGGGUCCUGCCGCUCCUGGGCCCUUCCCCACGGGAGCCCAGAGGCCUUAUACAGUUUCCUCUUGGGCCAGGGAUGUGGGCAGGGGUGGGCAGUGUUGGUGGUCUCUUCCGCUCUGCAGCCUCAGGGGUGCCCACCUGAUCAGGCGGUGAGGUCUCUUUCCCACAGGGUCUGGGAGCAGAGAGCUGCUGCGGGCCGGGAUCCGCGGGCGUGGGACCUCCGGCAAACACAGGACGUGCCCGGUCCUAGAUGAACUCUGCCUCUGUGUGUCCCGAUCUCACCAGGCAGCUCUCUUGCAGCAGACAAGUUGGUCUUACCUGUGGUCCCGAGGCUCAAGUUUGUUCGCGGGGUGCUGCCCAAGGGCUCUCUGCGGCGGCAGCAACCAGGAAGACCACCAUUCGUCGAUCUUAAGGAUGAGAGACUGGAACAGUUCAGUGGCUUCCCAAGGUCACACAAUGAGUGAGUGUGGGGGGAGUCUCCAUGCUGAGGUUCCCAUCCUUGGGUAUAGAUCAGGCUCUGUAAUGUGAUUCUAUGAAGUGUUAAGGUCUUCUAAUGUGGGGGUCACAGGAGACAUUCUAGGGUGUGCUUGGCAGCCUAUUUUCAGGUACAGCGAGAACAUUGGCUUCAUCUAUUUUUAUUAAGAGGCUUGUGUGGCUCAGGUUGCCCUCAGACUUGCUGUAUACCUGAGGAUGGUCUCAAACUUUUGAUCCUCUUGCAUCCACAUCCUGAGUGCUGGGAUGACAGGGCAUGACUCACUGUCCUGAUUUAUGUGACGCUGUGGAUCAAACCCAAGCUUCAGUGUGAUAAGAAAACACUACUGAGCUACAUUUCUGUCCCUGCUUCGCCCUACAAAUGCCAAUCACGGAGGCCACAUCUCAGGCCAUCACAAGUGUUUCCCUGGAGAGAGAGGACUGUGGGAACUUGGAACAGAAGAGCUCUUUAUUAUUCAGAAUAACUGCACUAUUUAAUUUACUAUUAAUAACAGCUCUCCAGUCAACCUUUUCUUAAGAAGUGAGAACCAGAGAGAUGCCCCUCUCUUCCCGCGCCUCCUCCCUUCUUUUCACAGAGUACUGUGGACUCAGUCACGAGAGCAUGAGCUGUUUGGGGGGUUGGUGUGGGCGAGAUGGAGGCUCAGAUGAUACAGCCAGCCCAGCUACCUUCCUCCUACAGAGCUUGCUUUGUUGUUCCUUCCUGGUUGUGAGGGGAGCAUGGGUGUCCUGUAGGCUGAGCAGGAAGGCCAAGGGCUGAUCUGGAAGUGACACUGAGUUUAAAGCUGAGAGAGGGCUGUUGACAGCCAUCUUUUCCCUCCUAAACCCAAAGGUGAUGUGCACACAGGGGCCACAGGCAACAGAAGACUGAAGGAGCUAGGGUUCUUUUGGGAAAUCAUGCUCUAUCCUGGCUCUACUAAAGGCCCAGUAUAAGAAGGAAUAUUUCCAGAGAGGAACAGAGCCUUUGAGGAGAACUGACCCCAAGCCAGGCAAAUACUUGACCAAACAGUCAGAAGACUCACAGGGACCAAGAAUAAUGGUAUCUGAGUGGGAUACCUGUCCAUUUCACCUAGGGCUCCACUCAAGACCUUAUUGUCUAGGUGUUGGGAACAUGUGGAGCUCCCAACUGGCAAAGUAUAGUUGCUACCACCAUAGGACAGUGUUGGGGCAGUCACUGUGUCUGGAUGGACAUCUUGAGGGUGAAGCAGAGAUUCUUCUGCAGGGCUGAACUUGGCCCUUACAUAUUUAUUUAAGGUGGCACCCCAGCUCUCAGUAAUGAUUGAGCUUGGCUCAGUUCUCCACAUUCUAGCCUCAGUGUGAUCUUGGAGUUGCUGUUAGCAUCCCGCCUCAUGCCUCAUGUCCUCUCAUUCCUGGGCUGUAGUCAAGCAUCCUCAUAUCCUCUGUUUUGGACCCCUCCUUGCCCUGGCCAUCUGUAGAGUGGGUGAAUCCUAGACACCCUUAGGAGGGGGUUGAAGAGUGUUCUGUCACACCAUGCCGUGGGCUGGUUUCAGUCUGCUUGAUGUAACAGUAGCUUUUUUUUUCCAAGCCAGAGCCAGGUUUCAUAUACCUGCACACACACACACACACACACACACACACACACACACACACACACACACACACACAUUCCUAAGUAUACAUGCUACCAAACAGGAAGCCUGGCUCAUUGUGAGGCCUCACUCUUUAUUCAAGGAGCAGUCUUGGGUGUCUGAAUGGAUGCUUGAAGACUCCGUCUUUGCAAUUAACACACUGCUGCAGUAUUAUUAGCCUCUGAUAGGCAGGUCUGCCUUCGCCAGAGACUAUAAAUACGUGGGGCCAAUGACUCAGCAAAUCUGUUGCUAUUUUUCUUGCAGGUCCGUGUGGAUCUGUGUCUGUGUACACCAUGGCCCCAUCUCCCUGCAGCUCCCAUGGCUAGUAACCAUGGAAACACAGUCCUCCCCAAUACCAUACUCUGCUGACAAACACUGGGAGUCCCCCCAGCCCGCUUCCCACCUCAGGGAAGUAGCAUGGACCUCACCAGUUCCCAGUAAGCAAGGGAUGGUGGGAUGAAGAAGGUGAACAUUUGCUCUAGGGCUUUGAAGGCCCAGGCCAGGCCUCUAAGCCCUUCCAUUGCCAAUCUAUGGUCAAGGCCUUGUUACUUGCCUAAGGUGAGUGCUCUGUGUCCUAGUGUAAUUGAGGGUGGCAGGGCAGUUCACAAAUGCUGUGGACAGUGUGGCAGGGGAGCUGGGGAUCAGGUGUAGCAGUGGUAAUAGGGAUUGAGGUUAAUCAAUGUGGGGUAAACACUUGGAGCCUUGUUUCUCUGUUGAGAGAAGCUAUGGAAGAGAGAGUUCUAUUCCUUCCUCUCUUUCUUCACUCUGUCCCUCCUUUCAUCCCUCCAUCCCUCUAUUCCUUCCACAAAUGUUCUCAUUCACACUUACUUGUGUUUGUGCCUGGCCCUGUGCUGGGUGUGGCUCCUAGGGAUAAAUCAGAUAAAUCAGUUAGAGCCUUUGCAUUUGGGACUUGUUAGCUUGGAAACAAGAGAGUUCCUUGAAUGAUGCUCAGGAAUCCUGGAGAUCAAGGCAGAAUAGAGCAGUAGGCAUAAGAGUGUGACUUUCUAGAGGCCUGAAGUGAAUGAUGUAUGACUGGAGAACAUGGGAUCCACCAGGGUCCACUCUGUUAGGAGGUGCAGUAUUGGGUAUGGGUGUGAGUAGGUAAGAGAUAUCUGAAGUUCUAAUUCUGCCUCGAGUCAGGGACAGCCCUUGAGGAAGCUGCCUAAGUUUUCUGACUUUUAAUGGGGAUGAUGAGAUGACACCUACCUGGUUAGUCUGGGUAAAAAGCAAGAUAACUCUGCUUCCAAAGACAUGAACAAUAUUGUACUAAGAAGAUGCCAGGACUGUUUUUAUAUGUACCCCAAUUUCUUCCUUUCAGAGCCAAAAAGAGAGCUGAACUAGAUGGUAUAUCAAGGCAUUUUCUGUCCUCAGUUUCUCUAUGUUCAAAACAGGAAGAAGCAGCUUUUAACAGAUGGGAAGAUGCAGGCAUGCCAUUCUAGAUGUCUGGUUCAGUGAGACAGAGGCUUCAGCCUGAAUCCUGCUGUGCCCAUGUAGAACAACUUCUACAUGUGGAAUACAUUGCAGUCAUGUUAAAUGCCAUACACAUGCAUACAAGGCCCUUGAUGCUACCCUGCCAACCUAUUAUUUUCCCCACUGUGCAGAUGCAUGAAGUGCAGACUAAAGUUUUGCUGGCUCCACAAAAUGUCUUAGAAAGGUGUUCCCCUUUUCUAGGAUACAAAAGAUUUAAACACAAAUUUAUUCCUUCCUUUCUUUCCUUCUCCACCCCUUCCUCCUCCUCUUUCUUUUUGUAAAUUAAAAUUGACCAGAUAAAGCAGGA
Molecule: non-coding RNA, 3881 nt
Organism: Rattus norvegicus (Norway rat)
Lineage: Eukaryota; Metazoa; Chordata; Mammalia; Rodentia; Muridae
Source: RefSeq, a predicted model, not a curated record